AUAGUAUAGUUAUAGUAUAGUAUAUAUAGGAUUCAAACCAACUUUAUUUAAACAGCUUCAAUACAACACAACCAUCAACUGAUGUUUAUUAUUUUGAUCCUGUAGGAAUGAUGUCACAAAGUUUCCAGUGAUCUGAUUGGUCAGCAGUCGGGCUGUUGAUCUGCUGUUGAAGUCCGGUUACCAUGGAUACCAGAGAUUAACCGACAAACAACAAACAAACAACACAAACAGGAAACAAAUCAAUCAGCUUUAAUUUUCCUCUGAACACACACAGGGUCAUCUGUGAUGUCAUCAUGUUGCGGGUGACGUCAUCACCGCUGUGGGUGAUGUCACCACAAAGCGGGUGAUGUCAUCACUGUUGUAGGUGACAUCAUCACCGUUGCAGGUGACAUCAUCACCGUUGCGGGUGACAUCAUCACCGUUGAAGGUGACGUCAUCACCGCUGUGGGUGACAUCAUCACCGUUGCGGGUGACAUCAUCACCGUUGAAGGUGACAUCAUCACCGUUGCGGGUGACGUCACCACAAAGCGGCUGAUGUCAUCACAGUUGUAGGUGACAUCAUCCCCGCUGUGGGUGAUGUCAUCUGUUGUUGUUGUUCUGGAUGAAGUUGAUGGAGUAGGAGCCGGUGUCGGUGUCCUGGUUCACCUGGAA
This is an RNA transcript of Sebastes umbrosus (honeycomb rockfish), 651 nucleotides long. It is a transcript of the gene named CDT1-like protein a, chloroplastic, with no coding region annotated. The record is from RefSeq and is a predicted model, not a curated record. The transcript is spliced from 4 exons. NCBI's taxonomy places the organism in Eukaryota, Metazoa, Chordata, Actinopteri, Perciformes, Sebastidae.